CCUACGGGAGACAGCAGUGGGGAAUAUUGCACAAUGGGCGCAAGCCUGAUGCAGCCAUGCCGCGUGUAUGAAGAAGGCCUUCGGGUUGUAAAGUACUUUCAGCGGGGAGGAAGGGAGUAAAGUUAAUACCUUUGCUCAUUGACGUUACCCGCAGAAGAAGCACCGGCUAACUCCGUGCCAGCAGCCGCGGUAAUACGGAGGGUGUAAGCGUUAAUCGGAAUUACUGGGCGUAAAGCGCACGCAGGCGGUUUGUUAAGUCAGAUGUGAAAUCCCCGGGCUCAACCUGGGAACUGCAUCUGAUACUGGCAAGCUUGAGUCUCGUAGAGGGGGGUAGAAUUCCAGGUGUAGCGGUGAAAUGCGUAGAGAUCUGGAGGAAUACCGGUGGCGAAGGCGGCCCCCUGGACGAAGACUGACGCUCAGGUGCGAAAGCGUGGGGAGCAAACAGGAUUAGAUACCCUGGUAGUCCACGCCGUAAACGAUGUCGACUUGGAGGUUGUGCCCUUGAGGCGUGGCUUCCGGAGCUAACGCGUUAAGUCGACCGCCUGGGGAGUCGGCCGCAAGGUUAAACUCAAAGGAAUUGACGGCUGAGACGNGCGAGGACGACGACGAGGAGGAGG
This 617-nucleotide ribosomal RNA is filed under the name uncultured bacterium. RNAcentral describes it as "bacterial SSU rRNA". It matches the Rfam family "Bacterial small subunit ribosomal RNA", at positions 338 to 956 of the family's 1533-position model. The record is from RNAcentral.